UUGUAUCAUAAAUGCUAUUCCGACUUAACCAGAUUUACUUUGUAUUGGUCCUGAAUGCCAUUCCAGCCGGGUAUCCGUAACCAUCUCUUGGACCAUUACCAUAUACCCAAAGACCAAAUCGUACGUCGUUACUUGCGUUGAAAUACGAUAUCAUGCCGUGAUCAAAAUCUACAAAGCUUCUCUCGGGAAUUGAUUUUGAUUCUAUCUUAAACUGAUAAUGGACCGUAACAUUUGUUGGUUGGUUACUAUAAAUUCGGACAAUCUUAGAUGGCCGUCUAGCAAUAUCUGGAAUCACAUAUACUCUAUCCCAUUGAUCUGAUGGAAUCACCAUUUCCAUUAAAGGAUUGGAACCACCAC
RNAcentral lists this long non-coding RNA (357 nucleotides) under Mytilus galloprovincialis (Mediterranean mussel). The record is from RNAcentral. Lineage: Eukaryota; Metazoa; Mollusca; Bivalvia; Mytilida; Mytilidae.